UUGGAGGGCAAGUCUGGUGCCAGCAGCCGCGGUAAUUCCAGCUCCAAUAGCGUAUAUUAAAGUUGUUGCAGUUAAAAAGCUCGUAGUUGAAUUUCGGGGUUAGUAGGUUGGUCAUGCCACUGGUAUGUACUGGUCUCACUGAUUCCUCCUUCCUGAUGAGCCGUAAUGCCAUUAAUUUGGUGUUGCGAGGAAUCUGGACUGUUACUUUGAAAAAAUUAGAGUGUUUAAAGCAAGCUAACGCUUGAAUACAUUAGCAUGGAAUAAUGAAAUAGGACGUUCGAUCCUAUUUUGUUGGUUUCUAGGAUUGACGUAAUGAUUAAUAGGGAUAGUUGGGGGCAUUAGUAUUCAAUUGUCAGAGGUGAAAUUCUUGGAUUUAUUGAAGACUAACUACUGCGAAAGCAUUUGCCUAGGAUGUUUUCAUUAAUCAAGAACGAAAGUUAGGGGAUCGAAGACGAUCAGAUACCGUCGUAGUCUUAACCAUAAACUAUGUCGACUAGGGAUCGGAUGAUGUUAAUUUUUUAAUGACUCAUUCGGCGCCUUACGGGAAACCAAAGUGUUUGGGUUC
RNAcentral lists this ribosomal RNA (565 nucleotides) under uncultured Glomeromycotina. RNAcentral's name for it is "SSU rRNA". It matches the Rfam family "Eukaryotic small subunit ribosomal RNA", at positions 548 to 1114 of the family's 1831-position model. Lineage: Eukaryota; Fungi; Glomeromycota. The record is from RNAcentral.